Molecule: long non-coding RNA, 628 nt
Filed under: Brassica napus (rape)
Lineage: Eukaryota; Viridiplantae; Streptophyta; Magnoliopsida; Brassicales; Brassicaceae
Description: long non-coding RNA (BNAP_LNC009324)
Source: RNAcentral
UUCUAAUGUUUUUAUUUGUUUAGCUUUGCCUUCCCUAUAUUGCUUUUCUCAUUUAUGCCUCUUUUAUCCAUAGAGGGAUUUGUAUUAACCAGGACGAGGGAUUUCUUAUUAAAAUAAUAAAUAUUAGGCUCCAUGACAAUAAAAUUUGCAAGCACAUGUAUGGAAAUACAUUUGUGUGUGUUUUGUUUACAUGUAUUCUACAAGUUGUGCUAGCGAUAGUGCUUUGUUUAAGAAAGUAAGAAAUGUUAUUGAAUCAACAAUAAAAAGGAGAACAAGAAUGGGAUACACGUGUGGACGUAGUAGAAAAUUGCAAAGCUUUCAUAAAGAUCCGGAAAUACUUGUUGAAAGUUCGUUUCAACUAAGUAGGUGAGGGUCAAUUAGAACAAACUUUGCUUCUAUAAAAUAAAUUAUUUCUUUAAUAUUGGUUAUAAAUGAUUUUUGUAGUCUUUCUUACAAUUCCUAAUGAAAUAAACUCUUAAAAUAUGUCUGUUAAAAUCGUUUAUAUAUACGUAUGCGUAUAUUGGAUAGACUAUGGUAUAUUUGAACAUCUAUGUUCAAACAAUCAGCUACUACAAUUAUUACUUAUAAUGGAUUAUUAGUCACACAAAGAGUAGUUAUUUUCUUACUA